Molecule: ribosomal RNA, 497 nt
Filed under: uncultured bacterium
Lineage: Bacteria
Description: partial 16S ribosomal RNA
Rfam family: Bacterial small subunit ribosomal RNA
Source: RNAcentral
GAUGAACGCUGGCGGCGUGCCUAAUACAUGCAAGUCGAGCGAACAGACGAGGAGCUUGCUCCUCUGACGUUAGCGGCGGACGGGUGAGUAACACGUGGAUAACCUACCUAUAAGACUGGGAUAACUUCGGGAAACCGGAGCUAAUACCGGAUAACAUGUUGAACCGCAUGGUUCAACAGUGAAAGACGGUCUUGCUGUCCCUUAUAGAUGGAUCCGCGCCGCAUUAGCUAGUUGGUAAGGUAACGGCUUACCAAGGCAACGAUGCGUAGCCGACCUGAGAGGGUGAUCGGCCACACUGGAACUGAGACACGGUCCAGACUCCUACGGGAGGCAGCAGUAGGGAAUCUUCCGCAAUGGGCGAAAGCCUGACGGAGCAACGCCGCGUGAGUGAUGAAGGUCUUCGGAUCGUAAAACGCUGUUAUUAGGGGAGAACAAAUGUGUAAGUAACUAUGCACGUCUUGACGGUACCUAAUCAGAAAGCCACGGCUAACUACGUG